AUCCGCACGUCCUCCUGCGGACGCGGCGGCGCCUGCCGCGCACCCCGCGCCUCCGGCGUUCCCCUCCGCACGUCCUCCUGCGGAUGCAGCAGCGCCUGCCGCGCACCCCGCGCCUUGGGCCGGCGAACGGACUGGUUGCGGCGUGAGCUGGGAGCGGUGGAGGCCGGGGUGGGAGCUGCGUCAUCGGCAAUCAGCGGCGGCGCCAUGGUUUCGGCCUCCCCUUCCUCUUGGUGGCUGCUUGUCCAUCCAGCGCCUUCCCCCAUGCUGGCGCCCCCUGUUGCCUUCUAUCCGAAUCGGAAGCAAAUCACCGGGAGUGGAGGCGGUGCCCCGUGGCCUCCUAUUCGAAUCGGAAGCGAAUCGCCAGUAUGUUUGAAUCAAAGUCUUGGCCGACUCCGAGUCAAGAGACAUCUGAAAAUUGCUAGGUCAUCUCCAAUGUGUUGUUGCCGAGACGUUCCUCACUGUAGACGAAGUCACGAAGUUGUCGGCUUUGUGUCUUCUCGUGCAGCACCUCUGCCGUCACCAGUAGCACGGAGACUUCCUCCACCAAUACCCUGCUGUUUCAGCUUCUUAACUACGUACUGCACAAAAGGUAUGAACCAGUUUUUCCAGAUCAUGUAUGUGCCUAUUGUUAGUUUUGGCCUCUCCGGCAAUACUAAUUUUAUUUGUGCUUCAUAAAAUUGCAAGCUCCUGAUGGAUUCUGAAAUUUAUUUGCUCACCUAUCAUAGAUGAGUUCCUGAUUAUUUUGCUCACCAAUUAUGGAUUUGUUAGUUUCUAAAUCAUUUUAUUUCAGUGAUGAACUCUGAAAUUUAUUUGCUCACCUAUCGCCCGACCCCCGGAAGGGGUCUACUCCGCCUCGCCCAACCCCUGCAGAAGGGGUCCGCCUCGCCCGACCUCCGCAUGAGAGGUCCACCUCACCCGACCCUCGACCCCCGCGGUCAUGGGGUCCGCCUCGCCCGACCCACGACCUGGAGUUUCCGCCUCGCCUGAUCCUCGACGGGGAGUUUCCGCCUCGCCCGACCCUCGACGGGGAGUUUCGGCCUUGCCCGACCCCCGCGAGGGGGCGCCGUCUCACUGCAAAGGGUCCUGCUCUGCUCGCAACGAUAGGUCUCCGGGAAAGAGGGAGGUCCCUUAGUCAAAAGGCAGUCGACGAAUGCGACCCUAGAGAAAUGGGGAAGUGGCAUUCCCAUUCUCUCGUACGGACUGGAGUGGGUGACGAGUCAACCCAUGAUCUCCUGAUGGAGACGCGGCACAACCACUUAGCCUGGCAUCAUUAAUAGUGAGCGCGCUGACCAACGGCACGCCGGGAUGUGAUGGACUACCAUGCCCUAUAGCUGACGACGUCGGCCGCAGCACAAAUGAUGAGGAUAAAAGUAACGGAUACGCUUAAACCACCCAUCACAGACUUAUCCCCGGGGGCUUAGCCUUGGCAACGUUGCAGCAGGUGCCGGCCCAAAGGCCGGAAGGCUCAGUGGCAGCCCAGCAAGCACAGAGCGGCCUACGGCUCCGCUUCCCCCGACCCCCGCAGAAGGGUCCGCCUCACCCGACCCCUGCGGAAGGGGUCUACUCCGCCUCGCCCGACCCCUGCGGAAGGGUCCGCCUCGCCCGACUCCCGUGCAAAGGCUCCGCCUCGCCCAACCUCCGCAUGAGAGGUACGCCUCGCCCGACCCUUGACCCCGUGGUCAUGGGGUCCGCCUUGCCUGACCCUCGAUGGGGACGAAAUUGGCGAGGAAUUUCUAGCGGCGGCUGCAGGUGUCUACGAAGAGAAGAGAGGAGCCGAUCGAGGAGAGGGUGUGAGGGGAAAGAGAGGCGGCGGCUUCAAGGCUGCUGCUAGCUGCGUUGUUGACCGCAGGCAUGCAAGUCAUGUGAGCAGAGCUGCGUUGUGUGGGCUGCCCAAUAGCAUGUCUUUUCCCUUCGUUUUUUUUCUUUCACCUUUUUAUAAAUAAACUUGUAGCGUAUUUGCUCAUGAAUUUAUUACAUAUGGAUUAGUUGAACAUGACAUGAUAAGAAAAUAGUUGCAAGUAUAAUUUUAAUACAAACUUAUAUUAUUUUAACUUUUAUUGAUUAUUUGAAAUGAAAAUAAUUGAUAUAUAUUAGGCAUGGUCCUAAUUCCUCCCUUGUAGAGUUUGCUGAAAUUGACAACCAUACUCGAGUUGGACUGACACCCACACUCAUAUUUUCGUAGCACGGUCCACAAAACAGCAUUGUCAUGGGGCUGUUCCCAGUCGCAGGUGCGACCGGUAAAAGUACCAUCACAAAAGCCUCCAUCGCUGGCCGUAUAUGGUCAGCAUCUUCUCCCUGCCGUCUGUUGGCUCCUGCGCUAACCCGGUGCCUCUGCCGCAGCCCUCUAUCGCUGUCGACGCUAACCUCAUUCGUCAUUUCCAACAGCGUUCGAGUUCCCCGCCUACGUCACCACUCGCAGGCUCCGUCACCUCCUCCUUCACACUCCAACACCGCCAUCACAAGCUACUGUCUUCUUCAACUACGGCCAAACUCCCCACCACCAUCCCUGCCCACUCGCCAUCCACAACCGCCCCAGCAGGCGUCGCCCACGCUGCCCCACCUCGUCGCCAUCUCGAGCACCCCACCACCGGUCCAAAGAUCUCCCCCCGCCUCUCCAUAACCGGCAGCACAGGAACCCCACCUACCCCAGAAACCUAACCUUGGCAACCCGAAACCCUAACCCAGCCACCGGGCUUUGCUGUGGGGUAGGAGUGUGCUAGAUUUAUUUUUUCUCUCCCCGUUGCAACGCAUAUCUACUAUAUUACUAGAGCAGUCAAUGAUUCAUUGGUACGUCAAUUGGAGUCCUAAUCGAAAUCUAGGUGACCGUAGGUGAGUGAAGGGUCCGAAACCAUUUAGAAUUAGCAUUUGACAAGUAAAGAAAAGGGUAAAGAUUGAAGUUAUCAACCGACAUAUACUAUGCUAUUAUAAAAUAUCUAUGGUGUAUAAUAUAUAUUUUUAUAUGCUAAUUAAUAUAUUUAUAUAGCUUCCCGUAGCAACGCACGAGCAUAUUUGCUAGUUCAGACUAAUAUAUACAUGGUUUCUGAUGAGCCUAGAUGCUUUACUGGUUAAUAAUUCUGGUAAAAAACAAUGCAUUUUCCAUGUUCAAGAAUGUCACAGAAAAGUUCAAGGAAUGUCGCUCAAAAGGAUAAGGAAACAAGUACAACUUUGAGCCUAACAAUUACUUCUGCAUAACCGUAUCACAUGGCUACAAUGGAUUAAGUGGAUAAGAAGAAUGCAAUUACCGGUAAGUGGCAGGCUGAUGUUGCAUAAAUGCCUAGUAGAUGAGCCCGUGGUGUCUGAAAUCUCAAUCUCACGGACAUUCCCUUGCUUGGAGGUUGUCGACCCAAUCCCUAACAUGUUAAGGAAGCUGUUUGGUUUGACCAGCGAGUGAUGCAGAUUUCACGAAUGGAAAAACAGGCAUAAUGGUUUCAAGAUGUCAAACCUCAACUCGAAAAUUAUCGUAUAUGGAAUGUCUAGUAGGAGCCUUGACACAACACAUCAUUGUGAUCUCCAUACUUGUCCAAAAAUGCAUCACCAGUUAUAGUCUCUGGAAUAUCUUUUGCGAACACAGCUUCAUAUUUUAAAAAGGUCGAGCUGUCGACGUGAACCCUGCCGUCCUCACCAUCACCGCCGAGCGCAGGAUCGCGCCGUGGGGCCGAGCGCGCGACCGGAUGUAGAGCCGAGCACGCGGUGGAGCCGACGAGCGAGGGGGGCGGCGUGGAGGGCAGGGCUGGAUCGACCGGUGGACGGGGCGAGGGCCAACCAGGAGGCGCCGCAGGAUCCAAUCGCAUGACAGGCGGGGAUAAAAAUCAGAUGGCUGUAGAUCGCAGCUGGCGGGACGAAGGCGCGGAGGCGCGCAGGUCGCACCAAGAUGCACGACGGACGAGCGUGAAGAAGAACUGCAUUCUUUUUAGUAGUAAUAGAAGAAGUAGAUAGAGAUAUCAAUAGGGAGGGGGGGGGGGGUCUAGUAGUUGUGUGUAGAAUGUUUAUUGUUUUUUCAUUAUUGAGAACUAGGAUUUACCUAUGUCACAAUCAAGUUUGUCGAAAAGGACAAAAUGAUAACGAUAUUUUGUGUGA
Panicum virgatum (switchgrass) is the source of this 4077-nucleotide long non-coding RNA. RefSeq lists it as uncharacterized. The transcript has 2 exons. The record is from RefSeq and is a predicted model, not a curated record. NCBI's taxonomy places the organism in Eukaryota, Viridiplantae, Streptophyta, Magnoliopsida, Poales, Poaceae.